RNAcentral lists this long non-coding RNA (442 nucleotides) under Panax ginseng (ginseng). RNAcentral's name for it is "long non-coding RNA (PGIN_LNC010977)". Lineage: Eukaryota; Viridiplantae; Streptophyta; Magnoliopsida; Apiales; Araliaceae. The record is from RNAcentral.
UGGUCAUUGGUGGAUCAUCAACAAUAUUCAAUUGAUGAUUAACAAAGUUUGUUUCUGCCUCCAUUACUUUGUUCUUUUGAGACUCCUGGAAUAAAUUAGCCAGAUGCCUCGGCGUACGACAGGUACGCGACCAAUGCCCUUUCAUCCCACACCUAAAACAAACAUCUGGUUUGUUCUUUAUCGGUGCUGCAUUUUCUUUAUUUUUACCCGACCCAGACACUUGCCACUUCUAGUGGCCUGAAUUGUCGCGGUUCUAGAAUUUGUUGUUACGAUGGCCUCAUUUAUUCUUUCGUCCCCAAUGCUUCUUAUUAUAUGUCCAUCUAUUGUCACAUUUAUUCUGCUGGAAUGACGUGCUGUUAAUAUCUGGCAAUGAGGUAGAACCCGUUAGCCGUACUUGAUGGUUUUUCAACAACAAUUCAUUAUUUUUUUCUGCAACAAGGAG